RNAcentral lists this long non-coding RNA (3925 nucleotides) under Homo sapiens (human). Its description in RNAcentral is "HSALNT0385217". Lineage: Eukaryota; Metazoa; Chordata; Mammalia; Primates; Hominidae. The record is from RNAcentral.
AUUUUCUUUAAAAAGAAGACACAAUGCAGAGAACUAGAGUGAACUGCAUUCACCUUCUGCCCCGUUCUGGAAAAGAGGUUGCCACCCCUGGUCCGGACAGGUAAACUGAAGCACGGGGUGGGGAGAAACUGCCGUUCAGUGGUGACAAGGACAGCACUGGGGACCUGGGGGGUGAGGAUCCCCGGGACACAGAGGGGCCCAGCCUCUGGCUCCAGCCCGCUUGAUGACGUGGUCCCAAAGAAAGACAGGAGUCAGCUGGCCCGGCCCUCUCGCCCACACACACUGGGGCCUGCUGCAGGCAGGGCCGGAGGUCCCCAAGGCCAGAGCCCACCGUCCAGUCUCCUGUGGCGGGAGCAGCCGGGGGCGGCCGGAGGAACGCGACCUGAGUGGGAGGGCGGGGACACUUUGCAGGAGGACAACAGAGGAGUUGUGGCUGCUCACACGCAGCUACUCAGUCUCGGCAGCCUCAGAAGACUUGGAAACACAUCUUGUUUAUUGGAAUUCCUCUGCAAAGUCACAUUUUAUGUGUUUCCUCUUCCAGUGGCUUUAGAAGUGAGACCAGGCAGAGGGAACCAGCUGCUGGUCCCUGGUCUGGGCCGCCCCUACCUGACUGUGGUUUGACGUCCAGCCCAGGGCAUUUGCAGAGGAAAAGCAGCAGCUUAGGCGGAGCAGGGUGAGGGCCGAUGGCGCGGCGCCUUCUCGGGUUGCAGCCCGGCCUCCGGGGAAGACAGCUCAGCUGGGAGAGCGGAGAGACCGUAGGGGCUGGAGUGUGUUCGCUCCCUGCCGUCCUUCCGUUGCUGGCCACCGGGCAGGUGCGGUCCCUUCUGCGGUUCCUCGGUCCCCUAUGGGGCGUGAGCAUUGGAGCUUGUGGUUUCUCAGCUCCUUCCAGCUCUGAGGCUUCUGUCCAAGCAACCCAGGCAGUGCCCGGACACAAAAGAUGUCCCUCAUCUCAGGCUGACAGGGAGAGCUGGGCACAGGCUAUAGCCCUUUCUCCGUUUCCCACUUCACCCGCUGGCUCCUGCUCAGCUUUUAACUUCUCCCCAGAUGCCGCCUUCUGCAUGAAGCCUGCCGGGGUUUGGCUGUGCCACUGCUGCUGACACACACCCCACUGCCGUGUUCUCUUCGGCCAUGCCAGGCACUCCUCCCGUCGCCUGUCAUCCUCCCCCCGGGGCAGGACCCCCAGCCCUCACCUGUUUGACCGUCCCAAAGCCGGGGGUGGGAGCGGGAGGCUUUUGGCGAGGUCAUGGAGGGAACAGGGUGGUGAGCCCGGCAUGAAGGGCCCUUGCUGCAGGGUCCUUGGCCCUGCCCGGUGGAGAAGGGUCAUGGGACAUGCAGUCCGGCCUCACCUUUGGAGUCUCCACCAAGACAGCCGAGGACUCAGAGAGGCUUGAUCUGUGGGACAACGAACCAGCGCCUCUGCCUGAGCCCCCAUCCCAACUCCCAGGUGGCGACGCUGAGUCCCUGGAGCCACACAGAGAGUGCUGGAAUGGUGGUGUGACCUGAGGCUGCCCCAGCCCUAUGGCCAGCACCGUCCUCCCUGCACCUGGCCUGAGGCUCUGUCCCCUCCCCUGUCCCCCCAGCCAAGCACCCUCUGUGGAACAUAGAAGCCCAGUAACUGUAAAAUAUGUGGGUGGUCUGAGCCGGCUGGUUCUGGAGAAAAGGAGAUGGGAUGUUCACCAAAGAAUGUCAGAGGAGAGCGGGCUGGGAGCAAGGGCGCCUUCACCAAACAAUGGUUGGCACAGGAGGUGGGAGAGGAGUCCUCAGAUCCACAGGCCAUGGGGGCAGGUGGAUUCCUUCCCAGCUGGCUGUUCCCACCUCUGAAGACCAGGGACAUGUGGGCCGGCGGAUUCUGCAGUGACUGGUGAGCCCUGACCUGCUUUCAUUUGCCCUGUGCGGCAGGAUUUCCCUUGGAAAACACCCUUUUGGUACUGAAAGUCACCUCUCUGAUGAGCUCCACAGUUGGCUCUAACCUGUUCCUGCCUCCCGGGGUUGUCAGGUGCCAGGGCAGACCUCUGGGGACCCACUCACAAAUGUGUCAUCUGUCAGGCGGGAGGUGUCCACGCCCUUGACCGUGAGGUCCUCAUUCCCAUCUGCAGCCUCCUCGUAGGAAACCAGCAGGGCCCUCAGCUGCGGUCUGACAUCUCCUGCCAGGUCACGGUGGAAUGGGAACCCUGGUGGGAUUUGGGGGAGGGUCGAGGGUCAGACUGGAGCACUGGGUCACAACCCACCUCAAACAUGGCCUGCAGAGCCCAGAAGACCCCAAGCCAGGUAACAGAGAACAUGAGGCGGCAGCAGCGCCUUGUCAAGCAGCCGCCCUGGAGUUGCCAGGGGCCCUCGCCUCGGGUGGCUUGCGGGGCUAAUGCUGACCCAAUGUGAGCCACACACAGGCUCACGUCUGCUGCAUUUGUGCCUUGCAACGUCCCGGCGUGACCAGCAGAGCCAUCGCUCUCUUUUUAAUAAACAGAGAGUUGGUGAGGUUGUGAACUCUGUCCAAGACCACAGAACCACCAUAAAACAAAGUCCAGGUUUCACAACUCCAAGGCCUGGCCAGCUAAAAACCCAUUCUGCUCGCCACCCAUCCAUCAAGAAACCCGUCAGCCUCAAAGUACACACUCCAGCACUCACCUGCUUCGCCAAGGCCAGGUGGGCCUGCCCUGUCACUGCUAGCCAUGGGUAGACAUUUACAUUUAAAGUGACAAGAAUUAAAUACAAUUUAAAAUUCAGCUCCUUAGCUGCACCAGCUGCAUUUCCAGAGCUCGACAGUCACGUGUGACUCGUGGCCACCUUACUGGACAGUGCGGAUCUAGAAUGUUCUGCCAUUGCAGGAAGUUUGGACAACUGCAAUAGCCUCUGCCCAGCCCCCCACCGGAGGAGGCUUUAACACAUGUAAUGAGGGGUCUGCCGGGCUGCCCACGUCCCUCAGGCCCCUGCUCCAAAGUCACCCGCUGGGGAGGACGUCCCUGACCUCCACAUCUGAGACAGAAGCCCCUCCCCACACUCUAUCCUUUCACAGCUUUGUCUUCAGUGCACGUGAUGUGGGAUAUGUCCUUCUAUCACGCAUCUCACCCCGUGCAAUGCAGGCUCCAUGAUGGCAGGAAAGGGCUCCGUCCUCAGCCCCAGGGCUGGGCACACAGCAGGUGUGCCCAGGAAUUAAUCAUUUCCAGACGCUGGCGCAGCACCUGGUGCCCAAAGCCAUAGGCCUGGGAGCUGUGCAGGUCUUGCAGGCAGACGACACCACUUAGUGGACGCGAUUUCUUCCCUGGUCCCACUGCCUGGUGCGUGCAGAGAAACUACUCCCAAGUGGGAAGUGAGUGGCUUGUUGAGGCUUGGGACAAAGCUCAGGGGUGUCCCAGGUGAACCCCCUUCUCUAAAACAAGCAGGUCCCUCCCUGCUCCGACACUGAAAUGACAUCACAGGGCACUGAGGACGUGGGGCCCGUCCCCGGCUGCUGCAGUGCAGUGCCACCUGCAGGCCGUGUGGCCUGAGCAGGCUGUGUCAUCUCCAGGCCUGCAGUCUCUCGUCUGUAGGAAGAGGAUGAUCAGUAGCCCAGCCUUGGAGGAGCCAUGCUCACCCCGAACGCUUCCACCAGCUGAGGCUGCAUGGUUUCAACAAGAGGAAUUUGUUUCUCAUAGUUCUGGAGGCUGGAAUUCCAAGAUCAAGCAGGGCCUAUGACCAUGUCUGAUGUUCAGGGAAUGAAGGAGUGAAGAAAGCAGGAAUGAACGAAGGAAGGAAGCAGCUCCAGCAAUUGGUUCCCAGGCAAGAAGCUGGUGGGGUUCUGACUUCUAUCCCGAUUCACACCCUUUCCUCCUGCCCUCAGGGCAGUCCUUCUCCUGCUCUUGUUCAUUCAUCCCCUUCAGCCCUUUCUUAUUCUCUUCUGUAGCCGAACCACAAAAAAUAAAUACAUUAGAAAUGUUUUCCGAGCUCA